This 532-nucleotide ribosomal RNA is filed under the name Triticum aestivum (bread wheat). Its description in RNAcentral is "partial small subunit ribosomal RNA". Lineage: Eukaryota; Viridiplantae; Streptophyta; Magnoliopsida; Poales; Poaceae. The record is from RNAcentral.
GCAUAUGAGGCAGAUGAACAACUGGGGACAAUUGGGCUGAGGUUGUCAGUACGAACAAAUCUCAAAGCUAGGGGCUCGAGUACAAAUGAAGCUCAGACUUAUAGUGAUUAUUGCACAUUAAUAAACAAUUACCUUAUGUUCCCGACGGGAUGACCUUAUUUUUCUUCUGAACAUGAUAUUUGUAUUUGUUGGCAUGUUACAUGGAAAAUUACCUUUUCGUGAAGGAACUUCUGUGUUAAUGAUCCGUCUUUCAUUUCUUUAAUGUACAUCUUAAUAAAGGGUGGUUGUGUGAGCACCAAAUUAGGAGCUCAGUCUAAGAGAAAAGGUCUGAUUAUGUAAUUUGGAUACAUAGUUCUUGCUUUGUUAGGAGUAACCUGAUGAUCAUUUGAUAAUAUAUACCUAUUCAUCUGCCAUGUGAACUUCAUUGAUCAAUGUGUCUCCCUUUGCCCUUGCUAAUCUAGGAUGCCACGUUUCUUUGAUACUAGAAUUUCAUGUUACCUACAUGAUUACAUCAGACAAAUGGAUUUUACUU